This 253-nucleotide ribosomal RNA is filed under the name uncultured bacterium. RNAcentral's name for it is "partial 16S ribosomal RNA". It matches the Rfam family "Bacterial small subunit ribosomal RNA", at positions 524 to 776 of the family's 1533-position model. The record is from RNAcentral.
UACGGGGGGGGCAAGCGUUGUUCGGAAUUACUGGGCGUAAAGGGCUCGUAGGCGGCCAACUAAGUCGGACGUGAAAUCCCCAGGCUCAACCUGGGAACUGCGUCCGAUACUGGAUGGCUUGAAUUCGGGAGAGGGAUGCAGAAUUCCAGGUGUAGCGGUGAAAUGCGUAGAUAUCUGGAAGAACACCCGUGGCGAAGGCGGCUCUCUGGGACGGUACUGACGCUGAGACGCGAAAGCGUGGGGAGCGAACAGG